CCUACGGGAGGCAGCAGUGGGGAAUAUUGGACAAUGGGCGAAAGCCUGAUCCAGCAAUGCCGCGUGAGUGAUGAAGGCCUUAGGGUUGUAAAGCUCUUUUACCAGGGAUGAUAAUGACAGUACCUGGAGAAUAAGCUCCGGCUAACUCCGUGCCAGCAGCCGCGGUAAUACGGAGGGAGCUAGCGUUGUUCGGAAUUACUGGGCGUAAAGCGUACGUAGGCGGUUAUUCAAGUCAGAGGUGAAAGCCCGGGGCUCAACCCCGGAACUGCCUUUGAAACUAGAUAGCUAGAAUCUUGGAGAGGUUAGUGGAAUUCCGAGUGUAGAGGUGAAAUUCGUAGAUAUUCGGAAGAACACCAGUGGCGAAGGCGACUAACUGGACAAGUAUUGACGCUGAGGUACGAAAGCGUGGGGAGCAAACAGGAUUAGAUACCCUGGUAGUCCACGCCGUAAACGAUGAUAACUAGUUGUUCGGGCACUUGGUGCCUGAGUGACGCAGCUAACGCAUUAAGUUAUCCGCCUGGGGAUACGGUCGCAAGNUUAAAACUCAAAGGAAUUGACGG
This 560-nucleotide ribosomal RNA is filed under the name uncultured bacterium. Its description in RNAcentral is "bacterial SSU rRNA". It matches the Rfam family "Bacterial small subunit ribosomal RNA", at positions 338 to 916 of the family's 1533-position model. The record is from RNAcentral.